GCGCUCGUAGCUCAGCUGGAUAGAGCAACGCCCUCCUAAGGCGUGUGCCGGGAGUUCGAAUCUUCUCGAGCGCACCA
RNAcentral lists this transfer RNA (77 nucleotides) under Tissierellia bacterium. Its description in RNAcentral is "tRNA-Arg". It matches the Rfam family "tRNA". Rfam says of the family: Transfer RNA (tRNA) molecules are approximately 80 nucleotides in length. Their secondary structure includes four short double-helical elements and three loops (D, anti-codon, and T loops). Lineage: Bacteria; Bacillati; Bacillota; Tissierellia. The record is from RNAcentral.